UACGAAGGGGGCUAGCGUUGCUCGGAAUCACUGGGCGUAAAGCGCACGUAGGCGGAUUGCUAAGUCAGGGGUGAAAUCCUGGAGCUCAACUCCAGAACUGCCUUUGAUACUGGCGACCUUGAGUCCGGGAGAGGUGAGUGGAACUGCGAGUGUAGAGGUGAAAUUCGUAGAUAUUCGCAAGAACACCAGUGGCGAAGGCGGCUCACUGGCCCGAUACUGACGCUGAGGCACGAAAGCGUGGGGAGCAAACAGG
This 253-nucleotide ribosomal RNA is filed under the name uncultured bacterium. Its description in RNAcentral is "partial 16S ribosomal RNA". It matches the Rfam family "Bacterial small subunit ribosomal RNA", at positions 524 to 776 of the family's 1533-position model. The record is from RNAcentral.